UACGUAGGUGGCAAGCGUUGUCCGGAAUUACUGGGCGUAAAGCGUGCGCAGGCGGUUUUGUAAGCCAGAUGUGAAAGCCCCGGGCUUAACCUGGGAAUGGCAUUUGGGACUGCAAGGCUGGAGUUUGGCAGAGGAGACUGGAAUUCCUGGUGUAGCAGUGAAAUGCGUAGAUAUCAGGAGGAAUACCGAUGGCGAAGGCAGGUCUCUGGGCUAUAACUGACGCUCAUGCACGAAAGCGUGGGGAGCAAACAGG
This 253-nucleotide ribosomal RNA is filed under the name uncultured bacterium. Its description in RNAcentral is "partial 16S ribosomal RNA". It matches the Rfam family "Bacterial small subunit ribosomal RNA", at positions 524 to 776 of the family's 1533-position model. The record is from RNAcentral.